This 206-nucleotide unclassified non-coding RNA is filed under the name uncultured Sebacina. RNAcentral's name for it is "sequence contains ITS2". Lineage: Eukaryota; Fungi; Basidiomycota; Agaricomycetes; Sebacinales; Sebacinaceae. The record is from RNAcentral.
GUACUCUCACACUCUCCGAUCCUGUGGAUUUGGGGAGCGGUGGACUUGGGUGCCUGCUGCUUUCGCUGUGGCUCACCUCAAAUGUGUCAGUGCAUCUCUUGAUUGGACAUAGUACGGCGUGAUAAGUGUCUUCGCCGGCGCCUCCUUGAGAGGGUGGCCAAUUGGGAGCUCUGUGCUUUCAAACCGUCUUCGGACAAUCACUGACA